This 164-nucleotide ribosomal RNA is filed under the name uncultured bacterium. Its description in RNAcentral is "partial 16S ribosomal RNA". It matches the Rfam family "Bacterial small subunit ribosomal RNA", at positions 355 to 511 of the family's 1533-position model. The record is from RNAcentral.
UAGGGAAUUUUCCACAAUGGACGAAAGUCUGAUGGAGCAACGCCGCGUGAGUGAAGAAGGGUUUCGGCUCGUAAAACUCUGUUGUUAAAGAAGAACAUAUCUGAGAGUAACUGUUCAGGUAUUGACGGUAUUUAACCAGAAAGCCACGGCUAACUACGUGCUAG